This 278-nucleotide ribosomal RNA is filed under the name uncultured bacterium. RNAcentral's name for it is "partial 16S ribosomal RNA". It matches the Rfam family "Bacterial small subunit ribosomal RNA", at positions 1105 to 1382 of the family's 1533-position model. The record is from RNAcentral.
UCGCCCUUAGUUGCUAACAGGUAAUGCUGAGAACUCUAAGGGGACUGCUUGGUUUAACCAGGAGGAAGGUGGGGAUGACGUCAAAUCCUCAUGGCCCUUACGUCUAGGGCUAGACACGUGCUACAAUGGUAGAUACAACGGGAUGCAAGCUGGUGACAGCAAGCCAAUCCCUUAAAAUCUAUCUCAGUUCGGAUUGAAGUCUGCAAUUCGACUUCAUGAAGCUGGAAUCGCUAGUAAUCGCGGAUCAGCACGCCGCGGUGAAUACGUUCCCGGGUCUU